Small nucleolar RNA from Petromyzon marinus (sea lamprey), 136 nucleotides. Its record names the gene SNORA70. It matches the Rfam family "Small nucleolar RNA SNORA70". Rfam says of the family: snoRNA U70 seems to be exclusive to mammals and is a member of the H/ACA class of snoRNA which contain H (ANANNA) and ACA box motifs. H/ACA box snoRNAs are involved in the conversion of uridines to pseudouridines (5-ribosyluracil) a constituent of structural RNAs (transfer, ribosomal, small nuclear, and small nucleolar). Lineage: Eukaryota; Metazoa; Chordata; Hyperoartia; Petromyzontiformes; Petromyzontidae. The record is from Ensembl.
UUGCACUCAAUUAAGCCGACUACCUUUUGUUCAAUUGAUUGGUAGUGUGCAAUGGGUGCAUAAAACAAACAGACUCCUUGGUUUGUGUAAGAUCUUCGUUCCUUGUACGAAACUCUUAGGGACCAUGGAGACAGUG